AUGCCAGAUCCAAUCCUCCUCCCUCCCUCCUCGCCCCAGCUCGCUGCUCCCCUCCCCUUCCAGAUCGCCGCCACCACCUCCCUCCUCCUCCCUCGCCCCGGCUCCCUGCUCCGCCUCGAUGGGCUGGUGCACCGCCAUGACCGCAACGAGCCCAAUCCCAUCGCCGAAUCUCGGAACAUCGCCACGGCUUCCUACUCCGCGGCGGCCGAGGCGGCGCGGGAGCUGCAGGACGCGGUGGCGGCCCUCGCCGUGCGUCGCGCCGCCGACGAGGACGCGCUGCGGUGCCGCGCCGUCGCGCUGGACGCCGACGUCCGCCGCCUACAGGGCUCCCUCGCCCCCCUCGACCCCGCCGCGCUCGAGUUAGUGCCUCCAAUGUGGUCGACGGCGAGUGCAUCGGGGAUUCGGGGUCGUCUUCAAGAAGGACAAGACUAG
This 432-nucleotide ribosomal RNA is filed under the name Triticum aestivum (bread wheat). RNAcentral's name for it is "partial small subunit ribosomal RNA". Lineage: Eukaryota; Viridiplantae; Streptophyta; Magnoliopsida; Poales; Poaceae. The record is from RNAcentral.